RNAcentral lists this non-coding RNA (121 nucleotides) under Ctenophora environmental sample. The record is from RNAcentral. Lineage: Eukaryota; Metazoa; Ctenophora.
CUACUCGUACCUCUACUAUUUCCACUCAUUUUCUUCUUUUUACUUACUCUUCUACUCUACUCUUCUUUGUCAUAGAUAUAAGAGAAAUAGAUAUAAGAUAGAGCAGAUAGAGCAGAUAGAG